This 468-nucleotide ribosomal RNA is filed under the name uncultured bacterium. RNAcentral describes it as "partial 16S ribosomal RNA". It matches the Rfam family "Bacterial small subunit ribosomal RNA", at positions 28 to 507 of the family's 1533-position model. The record is from RNAcentral.
GACGAACGCUGGCGGCGUGCUUAACACAUGCAAGUCGAACGGAAAGGCCCUGCGUUUGUUGGUUGGUCGAUUGCCGAACGGGUGAGUAUCACGCGUGUAACCUCUCCUUGUCUUAGUGAUAUCUUUAGGGAACUCGGGCGAUUAUACCAUAUGAUCUCCUGCUGCGUGUUGGGCGUUGGUAAGUUUCGGCGGUUGUGUAUCGACUCGCGGCUUAUCAGCUUGUUGGUGGGGUAGUGGCUUACCAAGGUUUUGACGGGUAGCCGGCCUGAGAGGGUGAACGGCCACCUUGGGACUGAGAUACGGACCAGACUCCUACGGGAGGCAGCAGUGGGGAAUAUUGCACAAUGGGCGGAAGCCUGAUGCAGAAACGCCGCGUGCGGGAUGACGGCCUUCGGGUUGUAAACCGCUUUCGCAUGUGACGAAGAGUGAGUGACGGUAAUGGGUAAAGAAGCACCGGCUAACUACGUG